ACUCUAAAAUGCGUGAAAUGUAUCACUGUGAUUCAGCGAAAAGGAGAUAAGGAGUAUGCAAGUGGAAUGGCAGAUUGGUUGAUACGAGAUAGCCAAAUGUCUUAAAGGAGAUGAGACUUUGUUAGGAAAUUUUGGACUUUUUAAAUAUGCAAACUCAAAAAAUAUGAUGCACAUGUUGUAAAAAGGUCACUUUUCUUUGAAUUAAAUUUUAACAUUCAAUUCAAAAAAAAACAUUUAAUUCUGGUCAAAUUAGUGAGGAAAAUCAUCUUAACGUGCUAAAGACAGUUUAGUAUACAGCGUUUGUUUAUUUUUACAUAGAUUAAAUUUCUUUAUCCAAGAGUCACGAUUCUGUGAGUCAUCGUGGUAAGUGAAUAAUGGUCCCAAUGAUCUACCGUAGUUAAUGUAUAUGAUGUCCUGAUUCGUUUUACUUAUGAUCACUGAUGUCUAUGGUUAUUGUAGGAUGAAAGGUUGCUACAGUUUACGCAUUGAUUAAACGAGUCGCUUGCUUGUAAAGCAUCAUUCAAUAUGAUUGGUAUACAUCUCACUCAACGAUGGAACCCACAUAACUCACUCACCACACAAAACUUCAACUAUACACUCAUCUCUCAUCUUCUCCAAAACAAGAGUUCCAUUGUUUUUUUUUUGUUUUGUUCUUUUUCAGUUCCAAUGAUCUGUUUUAUUUUGUUUGUUAUCUCUAUUCUUAUUUCCGCCUCCACCAACGGAGGAUAAGGAGAAACGGCUGCACGCAAGCCCACCGAUGUCUUCCUCAUCAAUUGCUGCGCUACCUCCAACACCACUGGCCGAGCCUGGACGCGGGACUAGCAGAAGGAUCAUGGGUUGAGUUAAGUCUCCACACACUCUCGCCUUCAUUAACGGCUUGGAGAUUGUUUCUAUGCCUAACCGGCUUUACACAAACGGAGGAUUUGAUGACCACAUAAUAGAUGUUGGUAGCAACAGUGACUCGAGAUAGACGAUACCACGGCACUCGAGACCGUUUACGGCGUCAAGGUCGCUGGAGAUGGGGUACCUGAGAUAACCGACCUUGGAAUGUUCCUACAUUGGCCUUCCGAUUCUGAAGCCAUACAAAAAAAAUAGAAUUUGUUGGUAACGGAAUGAUUGUGGACGCUGGAUUCAACUACCUUUUUAGGCUUCAUUUCUGUGACAGUACAGCGAAGGCAGCAGCCUUGCCGAGGUUCUCAAUCUACAUCGGUAACAAGACGACGUUAGAAACCUGAGCGGUGGCCCGAUGCUUCCGAUGUAUCUAGACUUCAAAACAUUUUUACCCCGCAAAAGUGGAAAGAGACCUAAUCUACGACUUGACUUGCAUCCUCAAAACAAGGAAAAUCUACAGUAUUUCGAGGUUGUUCUGAGAGUGGUAUAGAGAUUCUCAAGCUUAAUGAUUCCAAGGGAAAUCUCUCCGGAUCUAAUAAAUGUCAAAUAGCUUUACAUGUUCUGGCGAUCAUCCUCAUAGCCAUUGGUUCCGCAGCUGGGCUGGCGACUACCAUCAUUGUCUUCAUGCGUCAAACUAAGAGGAAGAAUAAAAAGGACAAUAAUAAUGUCGUUGUAUUUAUUGUAUUGCUAAAACAGUACACUUAUGCAGAGUUAAAGAAAAUCACGAAAUCAUUUUCACACACA
Molecule: long non-coding RNA, 1635 nt
Organism: Brassica napus (rape)
Lineage: Eukaryota; Viridiplantae; Streptophyta; Magnoliopsida; Brassicales; Brassicaceae
Exons: 2
Source: RefSeq, a predicted model, not a curated record